CUGAUCUUAAAGAAUUUUCUCGACCAAUAUUCUAUCUGCUCGUGAGGGUUAUUAAAUUCUUCCCCCCUCAAAAGAAUUCGUCCCCGAAUUCUAAAAACGUAGUUGUACACUCUUUACUGAACAGUCUCUGAAAGGAGUUCUGGAUAUUAGAUCUGACAUUAUCUUAAUCUGCCCAUAUCAAAACAACUCAUGUCGAUCCCUUGAUUCCCCCAACCGAUCCUUUCUUUUCUGAGCAGCCACUUUCAAGAUAACCAAAUUCUUUACUCUGCACAAUUCCUGUCAACUGCGAUCUGCAUACUUUUUCUAACAAUCUUGUAUCCGUAGACUAUUACUUCUCAACCUUUUCUAUCUGGCUC
RNAcentral lists this long non-coding RNA (356 nucleotides) under Brassica napus (rape). RNAcentral's name for it is "long non-coding RNA (BNAP_LNC006668)". The record is from RNAcentral. Lineage: Eukaryota; Viridiplantae; Streptophyta; Magnoliopsida; Brassicales; Brassicaceae.